CUUCGACUAGCUACAUUCGUUCAUGUCUAUUGCAGAUGCCACAUUACUGAAAAAAGUUUGUACACAUAAAAAAGAUCUGUAACCGAGUAAAGGGAGACGUAAGACACUCCUCCACGACAUGAGGGCCAAGGUACAUUUUUAUCCCGUCGAAACGUUUGAUUUGUUGGCAUCUUGUUGCUAUACUUGUUAGCUUUAAGUCACUUGGCUAGCUAGCCUGCUAACUUAACUGCGACAUAACUGCACACAUUUGAAAUGUAGCUAGCCACCUACUACAUAUUUUAAAUUAAUUGAUUAUCUAGUUCGGUGCAUAGGCUUGUAGUAAUUUCUAAUACAAUUAAAAAUGGUUGACGUUUGAAUACUUAGGGCUUCUGCAAUUAAGUGUUUUGUCAUUCUACGAUAGACUACUAGUCACAUACACAUGGUUGGCAUAUGUUAUUGGCGAGUGUAGCGAAAUGUUUGUGCUUCUAUUCCCGACAGUGCAGUAAUACCUAACAAUUCCACACCUACCUAAAUCACCCAAAUCUAAGUAAAAUAAUGGAAUAAGAAUUUAUAGAUGAGUAAUGACAGGGUGGUAUAGGCAUGAUGCAAUAGAUGGUAUAAAGUGCAUAUACAUAUGAGAUGACUAAUACAGUAAAUGUUUACAUAUCUUACAUGUGACCAAUACAAUGUGAUUUAUUAAAUUGACUAAUGAUCCAUUUAUUAGUGGCCAAUUCAAGUCUGUUGGCAGCAGCCUCUGUUAGUGAUGGCUGUUUAAGUCUGUUGGACUUGAGAGGAGCUGUUUUUCAGUCACUCUGUCCCAGCUUUGAUGCACCUGUACUGACCUCACGCAUAGUAGCUGGUGAACAGGCACUGGCUGUGUUUGUUGUCCUUGAUGAUCUUUUUGGCAAGAGGCAUCAUUACAGAUCCUAGUUAAAUUCCAGGCUGGCAGACCACUCACUCAAUCAGCUCUUAUUCUCCCCCACUUCACAGUAGAAGCCUCAAACAAGGUUCAAAAGACUGUUGACAUCUAGUGGAAGCCUUAGGAAGUGCAAUAUGACCCCACAGACACUAUAUUGGAUAGGCCAAGACUUGAAAAACUACAAACCUCAGAUUUCCCACUUCGUGUUUUUUUUUUCUCUCAGGUUUUUGCCUGCCAUAUGAGUUCUGUUAUACUCACAGACAUCAUUCAAACAAUUUUAGAAACUUCAGUGUUUUCUAUCCAAAUCUACAAAUAAUAUGCAUAUCUUAGCUUCAGGGCCUGAGUAGCACAGUUUACUCUGGGCACCUUAUUCAUCCAAGCUACUCAAUACUGCCACCCAGCCAUAAGAAGUUAAGUUCUUUCUAAGGGAGUAUGCGAGCGCACUCGUUUGUAUAGCCAAAGCCUUAACGUUAGUUAUGUUGGCCAAUGGAACUAACUAGCCAAGUAGCUAACUGCAGACAAACCAUAGAAAUAGACUCACCAAGUAAUCUAAUUCUGUAGUCAACAUGUGGACAUGUCUUGUUGCGUAUCACAUGUCCUGGCUCAUUGCUGUAGGCAACUAUUGUGCAAUUGUAGCUAGCUUGUUGACAUAUUUUCAGUCACAGUCCCUUAUUAUGUGGAGGAUGGAAAUAUCCCUUCUAGACCUGAGCAUAUGUUGGUAGAACUGUAUUGACAGCAAUUUGCUCUAAAUGCCAGAUGGGUGUUGCCAACCAAGCUUCUGAAAUUGAUCAGGGUGCAGUGAUUUGUUCUAGCAAACUUAAACAGUUUGUCAAUAUGUAUAAGUAGCUAAUGGUACAUCUAACAUCGGCCCCUCUGUUCUCUCUUCCAGUGGAGAAAGAAGCGUAUGCGCAGGCUGAAGCGCAAGAGGCGAAAGAUGAGGCAGAGGUCCAAGUAGACUGCCUCCCCCUACAACACCAUGGCUGUGACCCUUCUGGACACAACACGGGACCAAGGAUCUCAUGUGCAAAGUCUGAUCAGAGCUGUGCCAUCAUUGCCAAUGAGAGGCUGCAAAGAGACAGUUCUACUGUUGUCUUGGUCAAGAGACUCCACCACCUGCCUGGGAAAUUUGAUAUGGGGACAUUCUGGAUUCUCUACUCUUCUACCAAACCUACCCUACUCCAUUGCUUUUGUUUAUAAUUUCCAAUAAAGUUUUUGGUUUAAAGUUGUCUUUGUUGCUUCUGAAACACGGUCCAGAAUGUAAUUCCUAUCAUACUGCAAC
RNAcentral lists this long non-coding RNA (2177 nucleotides) under Salmo salar (Atlantic salmon). RNAcentral's name for it is "lncRNA (ENSSSAG00000084613.1, ENSSSAG00000121227.1)". Lineage: Eukaryota; Metazoa; Chordata; Actinopteri; Salmoniformes; Salmonidae. The record is from RNAcentral.